Molecule: ribosomal RNA, 253 nt
Filed under: uncultured bacterium
Lineage: Bacteria
Description: partial 16S ribosomal RNA
Rfam family: Bacterial small subunit ribosomal RNA
Source: RNAcentral
UACGUAGGGACCGAGCGUUGUCCGGAUUCAUUGGGCGUAAAGAGCUCGUAGGCGGCUGUUCAAGUCGAACGUGAAAACUCGAAGCUCAACUCCGAGCCUGCGUUCGAUACUGGACGGCUAGAGUCUGGUAGGGGGAUCUGGAAUUCCUGGUGUAGCGGUGGAAUGCGCAGAUAUCAGGAGGAACACCGGUGGCGAAGGCGGGUCUCUGGGCCGAUAUUGACGCUGAGGAGCGAAAGCAUGGGUAGCGAACAGG